GCAGUCGAGCGGAUGACGGGAGCUUGCUCCUUGAUUCAGCGGCGGACGGGUGAGUAAUGCCUAGGAAUCUGCCUGGUAGUGGGGGACAACGUUUCGAAAGGAACGCUAAUACCGCAUACGUCCUACGGGAGAAAGCAGGGGACCUUCGGGCCUUGCGCUAUCAGAUGAGCCUAGGUCGGAUUAGCUAGUUGGUGGGGUAAUGGCUCACCAAGGCGACGAUCCGUAACUGGUCUGAGAGGAUGAUCAGUCACACUGGAACUGAGACACGGUCCAGACUCCUACGGGAGGCAGCAGUGGGGAAUAUUGGACAAUGGGCGAAAGCCUGAUCCAGCCAUGCCGCGUGUGUGAAGAAGGUCUUCGGAUUGUAAAGCACUUUAAGUUGGGAGGAAGGGCAGUAAGUUAAUACCUUGCUGUUUUGACGUUACCGACAGAAUAAGCACCGGCUAACUCUGUGCCAGCAGCCGCGGUAAUACAGAGGGUGCAAGCGUUAAUCGGAAUUACUGGGCGUAAAGCGCGCGUAGGUGGUUUGUUAAGUUGGAUGUGAAAGCCCCGGGCUCAACCUGGGAACUGCAUCCAAAACUGGCAAGCUAGAGUACGGUAGAGGGUGGUGGAAUUUCCUGUGUAGCGGUGAAAUGCGUAGAUAUAGGAAGGAACACCAGUGGCGAAGGCGACCACCUGGACUGAUACUGACACUGAGGUGCGAAAGCGUGGGGAGCAAACAGGAUUAGAUACCCUGGUAGUCCACGCCGUAAACGAUGUCAACUAGCCGUUGGAAUCCUUGAGAUUUUAGUGGCGCAGCUAACGCAUUAAGUUGACCGCCUGGGGAGUACGGCCGCAAGGUUAAAACUCAAAUGAAUUGACGGGGGCCCGCACAAGCGGUGAAGCAUG
This 888-nucleotide ribosomal RNA is filed under the name Pseudomonas sp. Its description in RNAcentral is "bacterial SSU rRNA". It matches the Rfam family "Bacterial small subunit ribosomal RNA", at positions 57 to 941 of the family's 1533-position model. The record is from RNAcentral. Lineage: Bacteria; Pseudomonadati; Pseudomonadota; Gammaproteobacteria; Pseudomonadales; Pseudomonadaceae.